Molecule: non-coding RNA, 74 nt
Organism: Paramuricea clavata
Lineage: Eukaryota; Metazoa; Cnidaria; Anthozoa; Malacalcyonacea; Plexauridae
Source: the annotation of a GenBank genome assembly
GACCCAAUAGCUCCGUGGUUAGAGCGCUGGUACGUUAAAGCAGACACCUUGGGUUCGACUCACGGUGGGAGUCG